This 254-nucleotide ribosomal RNA is filed under the name uncultured bacterium. RNAcentral's name for it is "partial 16S ribosomal RNA". It matches the Rfam family "Bacterial small subunit ribosomal RNA", at positions 524 to 776 of the family's 1533-position model. The record is from RNAcentral.
CACGUAGGGGGCGAGCGUUGUCCGGAUUUAUUGGGCGUAAAGAGCUCGUAGGCGGCUCGGUAAGUCGGGUGUGAAAACUCAGGGCUCAACCCUGAGACGCCACCUGAUACUGCUGUGGCUAGAGUCCGGUAGGGGAGCGUGGAAUUCCUGGUGUAGCGGUGAAAUGCGCAGAUAUCAGGAGGAACACCAGCGGCGAAGGCGGCGCUCUGGGCCGGAACUGACGCUGAGGAGCGAAAGCGUGGGGAGCAAACAGG